AGUCCUCUUGCUGCACCCACAAUUGUUUGCAUUACUGCUGUGAUUCACGGCAGCUGCCACUGCUGCAUUUCUCAGAAGAAAACCCAUCAUUUUGAAACCUAUCCAUGAUGAUGAUAAAGCCGUGUGUCUUCAGGACAUGACUAGGAGCAGCUCCUUUGCCUCUGCAGAGGGACGAAGAGGAAGGACAGCAGCCAGCCAAAUGCAGCAAAGGACCAGAAGCAUCAGGAAUACCACUGGCAGAUUUUAUGAUGUCUUCCUCUGCAUGCCGACUGCCAUCUCAUGUGUGUUGCUCUCACACCACCUCUGCUCUCACCUGCAAGAUCACUCUGCCCACAGGUCUUUGACUGAGAUUUGAUGUGAGAGCCAGAGACUGAAAGUGAUUCCUGCUUCCCAAGGUCUUCCUGGAUUAACUGUUCAGCAAGGCCCCUGUGAGCACCAUGACCAGCCUGUACCGAUGCCCCGUGGGGCUGUAUUGCACCAGCCAGCCUGGAAAAGAGCUGAUCUUCCUGAAGCUCCAUCCAUCAGCAGGGCUUAUACCUCUGGGGGCCUCCCACGCUGGCCCUGAUCCUCCAG
This is a long non-coding RNA of Gallus gallus (chicken), 573 nucleotides long. NCBI's taxonomy places the organism in Eukaryota, Metazoa, Chordata, Aves, Galliformes, Phasianidae. The record is from Ensembl.